UACGAAGGGGGCUAGCGUUGUUCGGAAUUACUGGGCGUAAAGCGCGCGCAGGCGGUCUUUCAAGUCAGUGGUGAAAGCCUGGAGCUCAACUCCAGAACUGCCAUUGAAACUGCAAGACUUGAGUACGAGAGAGGUGAGUGGAAUUCCCAGUGUAGAGGUGAAAUUCGUAGAUAUUGGGAAGAACACCAGUGGCGAAGGCGGCUCACUGGCUCGAUACUGACGCUGAGGUGUGAAAGCGUGGGGAGCAAACAGG
RNAcentral lists this ribosomal RNA (253 nucleotides) under uncultured bacterium. RNAcentral's name for it is "partial 16S ribosomal RNA". It matches the Rfam family "Bacterial small subunit ribosomal RNA", at positions 524 to 776 of the family's 1533-position model. The record is from RNAcentral.